UUCAGACUGAAGCUUCUUUGUUCCUGCCGGAUGACUCAUGAAUGCCCUUUAAAAGAGAACGAAACAGACGUGUUUUGAUGGGGAAAAUACAUAAAGAAUGCAGUGCAUUUUUCCAAACGGCAGUCAGACCAUCUAAUUUAGGCCAUCAAGGACAAAACCGGCCAAGACUCUCCGGCUGACCUUCCUUUCCCGCGAGGGCCUUGUUGUGGGCCUUGUCGUGGGCCUGGGCUCACUGGUGAGGAACAUACUGACCAAGACGGGAAAAGGAAGACCAGCUUUCCCAGAGCUGUUCAUCUUCCCGGGGUUCCACUUGAAAAGAGGCUUCCUGUUUUUCUAGAAUGUUGUUUUUCUGGGUGCAAACCAUUUUCAGCAGCAGCGUGAUGUAAUAAUCGUCCAAAGAUAAGCACACUUAUCUUGUGCUGAACGUGGUCUCUGUGCAAUGACUCCUUUCCUUCUUAGAACAUUCCAGGUGAAGAACCAAGGCACAGAGAUGGUGAGACACUGGCCCAAGAUCACACAGCUAGGGUACAAGCCAAGAGGCCCGGCUACAGAGUCUGGGCUCUGUGAGGUGGAAAGGACACUCCCCAUGGAGUCAGGAAACCUGCCUAGGCCAACAUCCUUACAGACUGUAGAAUCGCUAAAUAAAAAAGAACACACAUCCAGCAUCCUGAUGCGUGCGAAGUUAGUACUUUUCGUGAGAACCGUCAGUUGGAAGAGGUUAUCCACGACGAAGAGACGAUCAUCAGGAUCUAUGCGCUGAUUAUUUAAUUCACGUGUUAAACCCGACUCAACAGACGGCUAUGAAACGAAACUUAAAACGAUCCUGGUGAGAAACAUUCUUGAAAGUACAAUGCAUUUGAAUCUGCAGGGAACUAACCCCAGAGACUUAAAUACACUGGACACCAAACCGGCACUUGUAACAAUGUUGCCUUCACAUCAGAAACAUUAUCAUAAUUGGUUUCGUGUAAAACACACACCUAAAGACGAGCCAUGGUUUCCCACGAGAGCCCUGGAACGUGUGCCAGAUGAGCUCUUUAAUUGAACGUAUUUUAGAAGAGGCAGAACAGCCUGGAGGCCGAGCGCUGUGUCACUAGCUCUAACCUUCUCGCCACACUCGUCUUGCACACUCAGCCGGCCUCGGCACAAGGUAUCUCUCUGUUGCAAGAACUGCCAUGCUAUAAAACUCCAGAGAAUGACGAAAAGCCAGCAAUCUGCCUUUCUGAUUGCUGCCAAAGAAUGCAUUUCAGAUUUUAUUGCCUAUGAAGAUAAAAUCAAACAUUGCUUUGGCCGCUGGAUGUUGCUCUGCUAAUUCGAUGCCCUCCUACCUCGUGUGUGCUUGUACAGUGUGUGGGUGGCCACUUGUCUGCCUCUUAAUUUGCUGACCACUGGGGCAGAGGCCAAGGCUUUGUAUAAGCUUUCUCCAGAACCUGUGCCAAGAGACGUUCUCGAAUAAUUAACUCCUGAUGCUCUGCCCUUCAUUUUCACUGCUUCCUAACAUUUGCAUCCUUCUA
RNAcentral lists this long non-coding RNA (1511 nucleotides) under Felis catus (domestic cat). RNAcentral's name for it is "lncRNA (ENSFCAG00000047065.1)". Lineage: Eukaryota; Metazoa; Chordata; Mammalia; Carnivora; Felidae. The record is from RNAcentral.